RNAcentral lists this transfer RNA (88 nucleotides) under bacterium. RNAcentral's name for it is "tRNA-Leu". It matches the Rfam family "tRNA". Rfam says of the family: Transfer RNA (tRNA) molecules are approximately 80 nucleotides in length. Their secondary structure includes four short double-helical elements and three loops (D, anti-codon, and T loops). The record is from RNAcentral.
GCCGAAGUGGUGGAAUUUGGUAGACACGCUGUCUUGAGGGGGCAGUACUCGAAAGGGUGUGGGGGUUCGAAUCCCCCCUUCGGCACCA